Molecule: long non-coding RNA, 3131 nt
Filed under: Neodiprion lecontei (redheaded pine sawfly)
Lineage: Eukaryota; Metazoa; Arthropoda; Insecta; Hymenoptera; Diprionidae
Description: uncharacterized LOC124295118, transcript variant X1
Source: RNAcentral
UCCGCUAUUCGAAUAUGGCCAACUCCGCGGACAGGUAGAUAUGCACUGAUCCAAAGACCGCGGGUCUUGUAUCGGCAGCCACUUAACGAUAUCUUCUUAGUUCCCCCCGACGUCCGCAUGCCCCCUUGUUAUACAGCGUCUCCACCUUCCUCGGCGCCGACGCGACCACCGGAUCGGAUCUAGGUGGGUUAAGUUUGCGGGAUCAGUAGGAAGGCAAGAUCUGUUGAGCGAUAUUCGAACCGAAGACCCAAGUCGGCCGUUGGCCAAGGAUCGUAAACGAAGCGCGCCCCUGCGCUGUUGGACGCGAUGCAGGAAGAAGUGAGGUGGUAACCGUUUUUUUAUUUUACGCAAGUCUCAUCUCGAUUACGAUAUUGUUUUCAUCUGUCGGUUUAAAUUAUACGUGUACAUCAACGCGGGAUCAAACCUGAAUGAUCUAUAAUUACAUGCAGGCAUUGAGUGAUAGAUGGUAAAAAAAUCGAGCCCACUGCGAAGACGGCUGAUGGUUUUAGCCGGUUCCUUACGUGACGAAGAAACGUGAAAAUAAAGCUGGACUAGAUCUGGUAGAAGAACUCGGCUCAGCGGAAAGCAUAGCAGGGAGAGCAAAACAAAUCGACACACCAUGUGACUGAUAAGAGAGUCAAUGGACGAUAAAAAUUCAAGUAAUGUUACAGUGAACUUUUCUUUCUCCGUGACCCGUGACCGCUUUUCUCGCGACAACAGAGGAUGGUCGCCAUUCCUCUCAAUUCGUACCCUUCCAUACCUGACCUCCAUGCAUGGGGUAUAAGCGAAAAUCGGGUGCAACUGGACGGAUAUUUUUUGAGCUUUUGUUAUCAUCCGGAGAGCAGAUACCGGUAUCUGUGUUAAAAUUUAUUCCCGAUGAUUAUCAACCUGACUCAUGCACGUAUAGUUAGCUAUAGGUACUUGUUUACCUAUAAUCUUUGAUUGCAGCGACAUCGAGAUGGGCGCAUAAAUAUAUAUCUGUUUAUAAAUCCACCUGUCGCCUAGGUUUUACUUCUGAUAUAUAAGUCACGGAUCAAUGCAUAGGUGUACUUAUGUCGGGUUAUUGUGGUAAUGGCGCAAGCUUCGCAUCGAGUUUGUACCGACUACCUAUUGCGGACGCGAAAAUAUUUUUAGCAGAUUACGAUGAAUCUGACUGAUUUAUAAUUAUCUCGAGAAAUAAUUUGCCGAUUUUUUUUUUUAGCGAUAAGCUCCGGAAGAAUUGCCAACUUGCAAUCGAAGUAAUUCACCCAUCACGCUAAACACCAGUCUUUUACUUCACCAAUGAACCCAUUUGCUAUUAUCUGCAUUGAUUGCUAAGUUUAGCCUUAUUAACUGUUUGCGUUAAAGAUAUACAUAUGUGUAACUAACCAAGACCAACAAUCCAAUGUUAUUUAUACGUACGGCAAAAUGUUAACAACUGUAUAAACUAAGUGAUAUUAUUACAAGAUUAGUUGUAAUAUCAAAGCGCGUCACUUUUUGUACACAUGACCUAUAAAUUGGACUUUCAAAUGUAUCGAACUAGACUUGCGGCUAAAUUAAUUAGCUUUUUACACUUUCGUGUUUUCAAUUUUGAAGAUCUGAAAAAAUUUACCAAAAAUUGAAAAUACACAAUCACCACACCCUGGCGACGAAAGUGAUGCAAUUAUUGCUAGUGUCGUGAAAACCGGUAAAACAAUGUAUGUAUAGGUACGUAAUAGCAGCCGUCGUGUUUGGGAAACAGGAAUAACUGACGAGGCACGACAUAUAUAUCACAUAAAUUUUUUUUUAAAUCAAAUCAAACAUCCUUAAAUUACGUUCAGACACCUUGCGGUCGGCGAGUCAAAAGAACCGUUGUGCACACAGAGUUCCAUAAAUUACGAAAUAAUACAACAUAUCACAUGUAGUUAAUAACAUUUGGAUAGCUGCGGAUUUUCAGGGUCAAGUUUUCUUACUCUUGACACAGUUUUCCACGAAUGUUCAAGCCGGCGUUUCUCUACGCCAUAAGUAAGCACAUAGACGUCGUUAUCGGAUCAUAAGGUGCUCAAAAUAAACAUUAGCAAAUGUGACAUGUACCAUGCUAAUGGUAAAUAUAAAACGCACUAGCCGUGCUCGUUGGGGGAUAAUUAAAUUUUGCAUUUUCGUACGCGGAGGCCGUUAAUCAAGCAUGAUAUUCCGCCACAAUUAUCGUCGGCGUUAAACAAAUCUGGUAUAAAGUCGCUAAGUGGUGCUAACAAGAUGUCGUCGCUGCUAAAAGGAGCAGGACACUCGGACUUUCAAGGCAAAUGUGAGUUGUAAUUUACGCUAGAUUUCUUAACGCCGUCGAAUACAAGCGGGAAGAAUUACCCUUUGUCACGGAUCAUACGAUGUCCACGAUGAUUAGACGUUCCAUCACAUUUUUAAAGAUCAAACGAGGAUAAUUGUUCACUAAUAACGGAGUAAAACGUCCUUUCUAAUUUCCGACGAUGGUUGUUAUUCUUGUUAGUUGGUCAGUUAAUUUUUAUACGAAAUCGAGCGUAAUCCGCCUUACUAUAUGCAACCAUCACGUAAAGACGUCAUGCAGGAUCAAGCGCAACUAAUUGAUAAAUAAUCAUAGAGAAUUUCAUAUCUUUACUUUAUAAAUAGAUAAUUUUAUUAUAAACAUUUCAAUGGCAUACACAGUUACGGAUUAACUGGUCAUACAAUAUUUCCCAAUCUUUAUAGUAAAAAUUAGUUGAUUAAUAUCCAUAAUCGAAAUAUGUACUUGGGCAUUAUAUGUAGACCUCGGUAAUGCCGCCAGUGACUACAAAGUUAAGACAUUGAUGUGUAUAUUUACCAAACAAUCAGACUCAGUGUGUUGAAAUUUUUUAUGUUGAAAUAUGAUAACAAAUUGUAUUUUAUUCACCGUGACAAAUGCACGAUACUUAGAUGAUACACGUAUAGACGCGUGGAUUCUUUUAAACCAAUUUCUUUGCCUCGAAGAAUCCUUUCAGAUGUUUCAUCUGCCAUGCACCCAUUGCUAGAAGAAUCGCUGUCUGAGCAAGCGACCACCACAGGACACGUUGAUUCGUGCUUUCCGACGUCUGUCUAAAUCGUUCUUCACGAUACUGAAACAUUGAAUAUUGUAUCGUAAUGAUUAGGGUAAGACUGAAUAAUAUUAUAUUUAGUUAAAAUAA